CUUUUAAUUUGUAUAUAUAUUUCUAGUUGAUCAUAUAAAUUCAUUUAAAGCAUAAAAGACAAGUUAAAAGAGCAACGGGCGUAUCAUGCGCUAAAGCGCAGCCCUUUAUUCUACUGAAUGUCGAUCGUUCUAUAUGAUUAUGCUAAGUGUCUAAUGUAAAUAGAAGAGAGAUGUGCAUUUUCAUCGGAUUUUUUUUUGUCCAUACGAAUUUUAAAACUUUAAAUGGAAGUAAUAGAAAUUGUUUUUUUUCUAUUAAUUUUACAUAUAUGCGUACACGACAAACAACAACAUUUUUGGCUGCUUUGUCUUGCGAUGUAAAUAGGAAAUGAUUUCUGUGAGUAAUUUAUUUAUCAAGUUAUUGUCGAGACCGGCUUUUGUUGCAGAAAGCUCGACAUAGGGAUAUUUAUCCGGCGGCGGC
RNAcentral lists this long non-coding RNA (418 nucleotides) under Mytilus galloprovincialis (Mediterranean mussel). The record is from RNAcentral. Lineage: Eukaryota; Metazoa; Mollusca; Bivalvia; Mytilida; Mytilidae.